RNAcentral lists this long non-coding RNA (9695 nucleotides) under Citrus maxima (pomelo). RNAcentral's name for it is "long non-coding RNA (CMAX_LNC001770)". Lineage: Eukaryota; Viridiplantae; Streptophyta; Magnoliopsida; Sapindales; Rutaceae. The record is from RNAcentral.
GCCAGUCCAAGAUAUUCGCCGAGGCUGUUUUCUGAUGGGGGGCUGGUAUCGGUUGCAAGAACAAACGUCAUGCCAUCUGCGGAAUCAGUUGUGUUUGUGUAGGGUGAGAUCCUAAUGGUGAAGGUGGUACUAAUCAUAGCUGGCCAUGCAGUCACAGGCUGGCUGUAUAAAACCCGUCCAACCUUAUUUAGCGGCAGCUGAGCUGGUGAUUCUGGUAAAGGGUCUGAUGUGAGGCUUAAGUAGCCAUAACUUGGAGUCACUGCGCCCAUGCAAAUUAGGCUGCCAUCGCUACAACUUUUUGGGUUGAAUGAGGAAAAUGUGAAGCUAACAGGUUCAUCAUCAGGGAAUGAUGAAAAAGCUCCGCGAAGAAAAGCUGAGAGGAGUAGUAGGAAAAUCAUUUUUUGUUUUGGGAGGGCUACUUCUUGAAUGGCAUCACUCAGCUUCACAUGCGCUCAUUAUAUAGGGGACUUUAGGCUUUCUUUUUUAAUUUUUGUUUUUUAAUAAUUGUCGUUGUUGUUGUUAUUAUUAUUCUGUGUGUUAAGUUGAUAUUUUAAAGGUCACUCUCUAGUCUCUGACACAUCAUCCUUAUCUCUCUGUCUCACUCUUUUACCAUGACAAAAUCUUCUAUCUUCCGUCCUCUUUAGUCUUUCUUCUCUAUUCUUUUCCUCUAUUUUUUUCCCCCUUGUUGUCAUUACACAAUUUUUCUUUAUUUUUUUCAGUUCUCUGCAUCCUUUAUUUAUUUAUUUAUUUUGUAAAAGUAAAUCCUUAUUCUCCCCAUUAAAAAUCCUUCUAAAAGAAAACAAGCAAAAAAGAGUAAGUAACAUGUCAAAAUUGGUGGCUCAAUAAAAGCCACCAAAUUUUAUCAAGAAAUGCAGCACCGAAAUCGAUUUCUAGAUCUGCAUUGUUUUAAUUUUGAAACCCACAAUUGUGGACUUCUGUCUUCUUAGGCAAAAUUUUGCCAAUAAAUAGAAGCUCUCGUUUGAGAGUUUGGCAUCCUAUUUUGUGAGAAACAUUUCCCUAUUUGGAGAGUAAAGAAUUUUGAGAGCUUAAAAUAUAAAAGCUCUUGAGAGUUUUGUGAGUGAGAGUAUUAGAUGUAUUGGAGUUUUAAGUAAUGAGAUAAAAUACGAUAAUAUUUAUAUACUCCACAUCACUAGUAAAAUAUUUUUCUUUUGUCUUUGUCGAUGUACAUGGGCUAAAAGCCGGACCAUAUAAAUUUUGGUGUCUCUGUGUGAUUCUAUAAUCUUAAUAUUUAUCAAUUUUACUUUAGUUAUGUAUCUGCUUUACCCAUCAAUUUUCUAACAGUGGUAUUAGAGUAAUUCAUUGUAUUUUUUAAGUCAAGGUACUAUUAACAUAAACAAUAUUGUUCACGUAUGAGGCAUUGUUCACACAUAUGAUACUAUUCACAUACAAGGUUCACGUGAAACGGUGGGAGCGAUCCAAGAAUUUUGCAGUGCAAAGUAAAGAAUAAUGGUGUGAGUGAAGUAACCGUAUGGUUUUGUACAUGUUUAGGAAAGUUUUGUCACAAAGCCGACAAGAGCAUCAGGAGUCUGGGUUCUAAGUGGGAUCGUUGUGGCCACUCUAGUAUAUCCUAAAACUUUUCUGGUGUGCAUUUUUACACAUACGAUCACUUGAUACUAUUCAAGGUGGUACAUUAGCUUGUGUACGGUAUUUAUCAACAAAAUGGCAACAAAGUUUGAAAUUCAGAAGUUCAACGAAAGUAAUUUCUUAUUGUGGAAAAUGAUGAUGCGGGAAAUUUUGAGGAAAAAUAAUUGCUUCGAAGUAAUUGGGAAAACGUCUGUAUUAUCCAGCCCAAAAAACUAGUUUAUUGAGUGGAGUGACUUAUCCUCCUUAUAAACUCAAGUAUCUCUACUUUACUAGUCAAUGUUGGACACAAUCCAACAAUUUUUCUAACCUUAAAAACAAAAUUUGAAAAUUAUUUAAUGAACGACUGGUAAAAUACUGUUGUUCAAGUUUUUGGCAACGGCUGCAUGAGGUUCAAUCAAUGAUGCAUUGUACGAUAACCCUGAAAUAAAAGAAUUUAAAACGGCAUAAAAUUGUUCAAGUUAUUAUUAUUAUUAUUAUUAUUAUUAUUAUUAUUAUUAUUAUUAUUUCAUAGAUCAUAGUAAUAAUUAAUGAAAAAACAAAAUUACAGUCAUAGAAUAACAAUUACACCUAAUUUUAUUUGAACAACUAAUAUUAUAAUUUUUAAUUUAUCAUAAAAAUAUUUCAUUCAUAAUUUUUUUUGUGUAUAAAUAUGAAAAAUAUUUCACUCACAAAUGAAAUAUAUCUCCAUUAACUAUUGACUAAUUUACGACUUCAUAAAUGAAAUAUUGAUGUCGUAAAAUUUUUAAUUUAUCAUUUAUAAAAUCAUGGUAUUUAUAAUUUUAUUUAUUAAAAUCAUGAUAUAUAUUUGUUCAUUUAAUAAAUUAUAAACAUAAAAAAAUAGAAUAUUUAUUUAAACUAGGACUUAAAUUAAUUUUUAAAAUCUUGUGCUAAAAAAAUAUUAAAAAUUUUAAUUUAAAAAUAAUUGUAAAAUCAUAACAUUUUAUAUUAAUUUUUCACUAAAAAUUUUUAUUUUUAUAUACUUUGGCUCACGUGUUAUUGAUGGCCCAUGGGCCGCGUGUUAGCCUACCAACGAAGCGUGUUUAUUACGUGUUUUUUCGCGUGCCAUGUUUUGUCUCAUCUCUAAUUGUACAAUGCUUUUAAGGGUCACGUGCCUAAAAUUAUAGGCCCAGCACGGUCCACGUGCGUGCCAUGCCGUGCCGCAUGCCUUACCAAAAUGUGUUCAUGUCGUGUAGUGUUAUAUGGAUAUAUGUCGUGCCCGUAUCGUGCCAGGUGCUGCUCGGCCCAUUGGCCAUCUUUAUCCGACGCCGAUCAGUUAAUUAAUGUUGUGUACUGGUGUGUGUGUGUGUGUGAAAGGUCUAGGCACAUGGAUCUGAUGAGGCCUCUGGCCUACAAAGACGAGCAAAUCAUUAUAAAAUGACAAUGUCCAUACUCCAUACGAAGAGAUGAAGAAGCGUUAUAAUCUCGUGACUUUAAUUCAGUCCAUGCAAUCCGCAUCGUGAAUAAAGGGGUGACUCUUGGACCUCACACGUGGCAUGUUUGGUCACCUUGGAAAUUGUUGAUGACCACAUCUUGCAUGACGCCAAAGCAAGGGAACAUUGUGAUUCACUUAAAUAUUCACGUUUUUUUUUUUAGGCUAUUAGAUUUCAAUUUCAUAUACUCUUUAGGAUAAUAUGAUUUUCUGGACCUUGUGAACUAUAUAAUUUAGAAUUUUAGAUAAUUCAAUUGUACAUCGUGAGCGAUUUCUCUUUUUCACAUAUCAAUUCAAUUGUACGGCUUUAGGAUAACACAAUGGAGAUUUGAUUAGAACUCCAAAAUACAUCCAAUAAACGAAACGGGUUUGAAUAAUUUUACACAACAAUCUUACUUUUGACAAAAUAUUGAGUUACUUUCACAACACCUCUUCCACUUCCACAUACACGAAAGCCAAUCAAUAGCCCUAUCUAUAAUUAAGUCAUAUAAACUAUUUGGUGCUCCACGAAGAGUUUUAUUUCUCUGUUAAUAUGCAGUAAAAUCUCAAUGAAUACUAAAAUUUCGAGACUCUAAACAAUUUAUUAAUUGUGGAAAAUAUUAUAUAAUUAAUUAAAAGAUUAAUAAUUUACUAGUUUAUGAAGAUAUUUCUUAUUUUCAAAAAAUAUAUGAUCACAUUUAUAGCAUUGAUUUGUCUUGAUUUUAUAUUUAUUAUGUUUUAUUUGAAUAUUAGUUAAUUGUCUUACAUUGAUUGUAAUAAGAUUAUUAUAGACCUUUUAUUUUUUCAUGUUAAGAGUUAUAGCUGUACUAUAUAUGGAAUCCGUCUUGCGCGGAGAAACACUCAAAGUGAUAUUAACAUUGACCAAUUUCCAUUGCAAAAUGACGAUACCAAUUGAUUUUUUUUUUUUUGCAUUAAAAAAAAUAGAGAUGAGAUUCAAGUCAAAAUUAAAUCCAAAAAGAAUCUAAAAGUUUUAAGAGCACAUCUCACAAAAACCACGUAUACAUAUAUUAUAUGACUUAAUUUUAUAUUAGGGUGAUUAUUAAUUUAUAUAUUACGUGCCUCCUGUGGAAUCACAUGGAUUUUUAAAAAUAUUAAUUUAUAGAUUUUAUUGAAUUAUUAACACGUUGGCCCUAAGUCGGAAAUAACAAAAAUUAUUAUUUAAUUGAGAUUUUUAAUUUAUUGACCAUUAAUUUUUUAAGAUUGUACUGUAAUUAGUUGGUCUUUUUUCAAUGCAAAAUAAAUUGACAAAUCAUAUAAAUGAGGUGACAUAUGGCUUACCACAAUUUCUUUCUUAAUUAAUUUAUCGAGGAUAUGAUAAAAGCAAAAUGAAAAGAUGAUCAGCUCUAAGGCCUAAUUUAUACAAAAUGUUUAAUGCUUUGAUAACAUAAAAAGUAAGUAAUCAUCAUCGUAAAUUAGGGAUUCAUCUUCCAAAUAUAUAUGCAUGUUAUAUUGGCAAUGAUUUUGCCAUAGAUAAAUGUCAUUAUGGAUAUUAGCCAAAUAUAUCUUGAUUAAGAAAGAAUCUUUGAUGUGCAUUCUUAUCACAUAUUUCAUAUUUAUUAUCCAUGAAAGUAUGCACUACGCUAUAAAUGUAUGAAUCCAGAUUUUUACUAAAGUUGACACUGUUAAAUUUUUUUGUGAAUUUGAGAGUUCACGAUGUUGUGAACCACUAAAUUUACACACUAAUUCGUGCGGAUAUCUGCAGGAGGGAAGGACUGUCCAUGUAAAUAUCUGUUGUGAUGCGUACAUUGUUUCCAUGUAUGGUUGAAUUUUCAUUUUAUGAUUUCCACUAUGAGAAGAGAAUUUUGGUCGGAUAAAGAAGAGAACGAGGAAAAAGAAAAAGAAGACAUCAAAAGUUCAAAGCUGCAACGUAAUCAAUAGAAGCUGAAUAUGAACAUUUCUACACAAGUACAUGCAGAACAUCUCAGAUAGCAAGCCAACAAUAUUAAUCUUAGUCAGCUUCUAGAGCCAUGUCACUUUAUUGACGAUAUUAGUUAUUUUUAUUUAUUAUAAUUUAUGUGACAUGGUUUUUCAAGGACGGUUUAGAAUUUUAUAUUGGCAUCGCCAGGUUUUGCUCCUCCAGAGAAGAAGAAGGCAAUGGGAACGUUGUGAAGGUCCAAUCAAGCACCUGAUGGCUUUCUGAAAAGUCGGGCCCUGUGGAUGCUGUGAAGCCAACAUAGACUGAGCUUGGAAGGCGAAGCCCGCCAACAAAAAUGGAAGAAAAACGGAAACCCACUUGAUCGAUCAUUUUUGUCUUUUCUAUAUAUGCAGUAAAGGUGUGUUUGGUAUUGUUUUUCAGCUGUCGUUCUAUUUUUUACAAAAACAAAAAACAAGAAAACAUGUUUGCAGGCUGUUUCGUAACCGUAGAAGGGGAAAGUUAGGAGGCAUAAAAAAAAAAAAAAAAAAAAAAAAAAAAGGCACUGCGUCAGUAUGUUAUUGUUUCCAUUGGGCCCAAUCGAAAUCAUUUACUUUGAUCAAUUUUGAUUUUGUGUUGGAGUAAAGAUGGUGUUGGAUUGAAGUGAACGAUAUAAAAACAGGCAUAAAAUUGACACGUACAGUCAAUCUCAAUUGGUAAAUAUCUGUUUAAAGAAUUUGGAAUAAAACAAUCACUAAAUAGUGUACGCAGCCUGUAAACAACUUGCAACAAUAUUUACAGUAAAUAGAGCAAAUUUUUGGUUUAUGCAAUUAACAGUGCGAAACAAUUAAGUGUAGUGUGAGAGCAAAUGUAAAGGUGCCUGAACAAGUCAUCCGUAUUUGGAGCAACAAUAAAUAAAAUAAAUAACUCUGUUCGGUGGAAGCAGGCUGAAAAUAACCCAACUAAGCCACUAUAAUUUAGAAGGGGAAGUAAGGCUGCUUGUAUCGUGAGUGAUUGGAUUGUUGAUUAAUUAUUUUUGAAGUCUCAAAACUUGGUUUCCUUGAAGAUCAUCAUGGAAAACUAACGUUCACAAAUUAGUUUGGCAAGUUGGCUUGUUAAUGUAUGAAGGAGAAAAAAAGUAGCCAAAUUAAUGGCUAACGUUGAUGGGAAGACCAUCAAAUUUUCAGAAAUUUUUUCAAAAUCUAGACCCCAGGGUUUUCCAUUCCAAAAAAUAAAAAAUAAAAAAUCCGAAGCUCUUUCUCUUGUGCUAGAUUUUGCAACCGAUGCAGUCUUGACCUCUCGUAAUUAUACCGAUACUUUUUUUGUGUACUUCUAAUUCCAACUACUUCCAGUAAGCAGCAAUAUCUUGACUCUUGAGACUGUUUUUAGGAGUCCUUCACUCAAGUAUAACAAUUAUUCUUGAAAGAUUGAUAAUUAGUCUUUGACUUUGUGUGUUUAACCACGGAUAAUUUUUUGGCUUUUGACCUUUUCACCCUCAUCUUCAAUUCGUCUUCAUCUUCAUCAACAGAACUAACUCAAAUGGUAUCACAUUUCUACUAUGUGUAUCACGUUUAAAACUAUAUCCUUUGGAUUAUAUAAGUUCAAAUCCAACGAUCAUUUCAAAUGGGGAUAGAAAAUGGAGUACCUUACCACCACGGUUAAGGCAGCUGGACCUAUAUGUAUUAUGGUAAUUUAUAAAUAUUUUUAUUACUAAUUUCAAUUGUAAUUUAUUUUAAUUAGAUUUGUAAUGAUAAUAGGAAUAUAAAAAAGCAUAAAAACUAGAUGCAUUGCAGAGCAAAAAAUAGAAAUUAAUAUAUUAUAAAAAAAUUUCACCAAACACAUUUCUAUUAUUUUGAUAUUUUCAAACAAACUACCAAACUUACCUUUUACAUUUUUUUCUUUUUCAUUUGACAUCUUAUCUUGAAAACAAAAUACCAAAUGCCUUUCCCUUUUAAGAACAUCACAUCAAAAAUAUCAUUUUUCUCUUCUAAAAAAUUUUAAAAAAAUACAAAAUAAUAAUAAUAAUAAUACCAACCACACUCUAAAGGUUUUGUAAUUUGCAAUAUCUGACACAGAUCAAUGAAUUAAGAUUGUAUGUGUUCGAGGGAGAUGAUAUGUGAUGGAGCUUUGGCCUAUAAAGACAAGUAAAUCAUUGGAAAAUGACAAAAAUGACAAUGUCUUUAUGAAGACAUGAAUACACGUGAUAAUCUCGUGACUUUAAUUUAGUCCAUUCAAAUCGCAUAAUGAAUAUAGGGGAGACAAAGUCUGUGUUCUAGGGAGAUGAUAUAGUAAUAAGCUUAUUAUAGAGUUUUUAUUUUUCCAUGUUAAGAAUGAUGGUUGUACUUUGGAAUCCAUGUUGUACAAAGAAGAACUCAAAGUAAUAUUAUUAUAAAAUAAUUUCUUGUUGCAAAACAACAAUACAAUUGAACUUUUUUGUACGUUAAGAAAAUUAGAUAUGAGAUUUAAGUCAAAAUUCAUUCCAAAAAGAAACUAGCAAUUUUAAGAGUGUAUUUUACAAAAACCAUAUGUACAUAUACUAUGUCGACUUAGUUUUAAAUUAGGUGAUUGUUAAUUAAUGUAUAACGGGUAUCCUAUGGAAAAAUAUGGAUUUUUAAAAAAUAUUACCUUACAGAUUUUAUUAAAUUAUUAAUAUAUUGGCCUAAAGUCGAAAAUAACAAAAAUUAUUAUUUAAUCAAGAUUAAUUUAUUAAUAUCGUACCGUACUUAGUUGGUCUUUUUUCAAUGCAAAAUAAAAUGACAGAUCAUAUAAAUGAAGUGACAUGUGGCUUACUUCAAUUUCUUUCUUAAUUAAUUUAAUGAGGAUAUGGUAAAAGCAAAAUAAAAAGAUCAUUAGCUCUAAGGCCUAAUCUAUACAAAAUGAUUAAUAACAUAAAAGUAAGUGAUCAAUCAUCCUAGCUGUAUGGUUGGGAUUCAUCUUCCAAUAUAUAUGUAUGUUAUAUUGGCAAUGAUUUUGCCAUAUAUAAAUGUCAUUAUGGACAUUAGCCAAAUAUAUCUUGAUUUGGAAAGAGUCCUUUAUGUGAAUUCUUAUCACAUAUUUCAUAUUUAUUGUCGAUAGAACUAUAGACUAUGCUAUAGAUGUAUGAAUUCAUAUUUCUAAUCAAGUUUAUAUUGUUAUAUAGAUGUAGAGAAAAAUUUUGGACGUCUGCACGAAUUUAAUUUCAUUUGAAUUUAGAAGUUCAUAAUAUUGUGAAACUCUAAAUUUGUCCAAUAAUUCAUGGGGACGUUCGCAGUAGAAAAGGACUCUAAAUGUAAUUAAUAUUUGCGGCAAUGCAUACAUUGUGUCCCAUGGUUAAAUUUUUAUUUUAUGGUUUCCACUGUGAGAAGAGAAUUUUCGUCCCAUAAAGAAGAGAACGAGGAAAAAGAAAAAGAAAGAAGUUCAAAACUGCAGCGUAAUCAAUAGAAGCUGACAUGAACAUUUCUACACAAGUACACACGGUAAAUCUCAGAUAGCAAGCCAAAGAUAUUAGUCGUAGUCGCUGCUAUCAUUUUAUUCCAUAUUUAUACAGGAGCCAUGUCACUUUAUUGAUGAUAUUAUUAUUUAUUAUAAUUUUUAUAUGACAUGGUUCUUCAAGGCUAGUUUAGAAUUAUAUUGGGAUCGCCAGGUUUUGCUUCUUGAUAGAAGAAGGCGGCAGCGGGAAUGUUGUGAAGGUCCAAUCAAGCACCUGAUGGCUUUCUGCUCUCCCGAGCCCUGUAGAUGCCGUGAAGCCAACAUAGACUGAGCUUAGAACUGUUUCUGAGAUGACAAUAGGUCUUUCAAUCAACUUCUGAAGUGGGUUCCCCGCAUAUGCCACAUAAACAUAGAGUAUUUUCGUCACUUGAACCUGGAUCGGUCUUCCACUUUUGAGAUCAAUGCCAAAGCUGUCGAGACUCUUAGCUGGAUCUGAUAUUAAGCUUGCUAUGUCGAUGCCGAUAUGGUUAUUAUCUGGAUCAUUUUUAUUUUUGUUCUUGAAUGUGUCCAGCUCCACGGCUAAUAUCGAACCAUUGUUACCUACAUAUAUAAUUUGCAUAUGCAUUAUAUAGAUAUAAAUAAAUAUAUAUAUAUAUAUAAUUAUCUCAAGAAGGUUUCCGCACAUUAUUUGGUGAGGGUUCCCCACCAUAUGCUACUAUUACAACACCCGCCAUAUGGUAUAACAACAUUUCUUCAUUUUAAUAAAGCGUAGAACUCUCAUUAUAUAGUUCUUCUUCAAUAAGAAUAUUUUUAUUUUGUUAAAGUGAAAAUAUUACUAAAAUAUUUAAAAAUAAUAAUAUAUUAGAUACUGUGUUUUUUUAUCUGAUAAUUUAGUAAAAUAUGUAUUUUUUGUCUAUUAAUGACAUCCAUAGUUUAUUAAAACGAGGUUGUAUUCAAUAAUAAUAAUAAUAAUAUACACGCAUAUAUAUCAUCAUAUUGUUUAUCAGUACUGUUAUUAUAUAUAUUAUUCGCCUAUGCAAGCAUCAAGUAUGUGUCAGUACUUUAUCUGUGUUAAUUCUUAAUUAUUCACAUUUGAUCAUCAUACCCGAUGUAGUCAGUUCAAGAUUUCCGAAGCCGCUGUUUGGUGGUGAAGGGCUGCUAUCGGGUGUAAGAACAAACGUCAUGACUUCUGCCGAAUCCGUUGUAUUUGGGUAGGGUGAGAUCCUAAUGGUGAAGGUGGUACUAAUCAUAGCUGGCCAUGCAGUCACAGGCUGGCUGUAUAAAACCCGUCCAACCUUAUUUAGCGGCAGCUGAUCUGGCGAUUCUGGUGAAGGGUCUGAUGUGAGGCUUAAGUAGCCAUAACUUGGAGUCACUGCGCCAAUGCAAAUUAGGCUGCCAUCG